RNAcentral lists this ribosomal RNA (460 nucleotides) under uncultured bacterium. RNAcentral describes it as "partial 16S ribosomal RNA". It matches the Rfam family "Bacterial small subunit ribosomal RNA", at positions 338 to 795 of the family's 1533-position model. The record is from RNAcentral.
CCUACGGGUGGCAGCAGUGAGGAAUAUUGGUCAAUGGGCGGAAGCCUGAACCAGCCAAGUAGCGUGCAGGAUGACGGCCCUACGGGUUGUAAACUGCUUUUAUACGGGAAUAACUCGCAUUACAGGUAGGGCUUUGCGUGUACCUUAUGAAUAAGGACCGGCUAAUUCCGUGCCAGCAGCCGCAGUAAUACGGAAGGUCCGGGCGUUAUCCGGAUUUCUUGGGUUUAAAGGUAGCGUCGGCCGGAUGUCAAGCGUGCUGUGAAAUGGCCGGGCUCAACCCGGGCCUUGCAGCGCGAACUGGCGUGCUUGAGUCCGCGGAAAGCAGGCGGAAUUCGGCGUGUAGCGGUGAAAUGCUUAGAUAUGACGAAGAACCCCGAUUGCGAAGGCAGCUUGCUGCAGCGGAACUGACGCUGAUGCUCGAAAGCGCGGGUAUCGAACAGGAUUAGAUACCCCAGUAGUC